Molecule: long non-coding RNA, 1040 nt
Organism: Acanthopagrus latus (yellowfin seabream)
Lineage: Eukaryota; Metazoa; Chordata; Actinopteri; Spariformes; Sparidae
Exons: 3
Source: RefSeq, a predicted model, not a curated record
UGCAAGCAACUUAAAGGGUCCCAUACCUUUUCUGCCUUGGAUGGUGCCCUAAAGGACAUUCACACAGAAUUCACUAUCAGAGAGAAGAUCCUUCGCACUACAACUGACAACGGAUCAAACUUCUUGAAAGCCCUCAGAGUUUACGGGCAGACUGACGAGAACAACAAUCCUGAACCUGUAGGAGAGUGUGAUGGAGGAGGGGAUGGUGGUGGCCAAAAUGAUGAUUACGAUGAAGAAGAGGAAAGUGUUGAGAGUGUUGAAGUUGUUGAUGCCGGAGCCCUGUUGGACGAAGAUGACUACUUGGAAUACCAGCUACCCAAGCACCAUCGCUGCACCUGCCACCUCCUCGAUUUAGUGUCCACAGUUGAUGCUUCAGAAGCAGAGGUCAGCCCAUUGUACAAGCAUGUGUCAAGGUCCACAUUUGCCAAAUGCUCUAGCCUGUGGAACAAAAGUUCAAGAUCAACCACUGCAUCUGAAGUAAUUGAAGACCACUGCAAACUCCAACUCGUAAGGCCUGUUGCUACAAGGUGGAAUUAACUCAGCCGUAGAGAGAAUAGUGAGAAUAACAAGAGAACAAGGCGAAGGAGCCCUUGCAGCUGUCUGCAGUGAACUAGAUACACCUAAGUUUACUCCAUUGAAACUGGCAUUUCUUGCCAAGUAUGCAAAGACAAUGAGCCCAGUUGCAAAGGCACUUGAUGUUCUUCAGGGAGACAUCAGUGUGCAGAUGGGAUGGUUGCUCCCCACCAUAACUCUACUAAGGACCAAUCUCAGGCACCUUCACAUCGCCUCCUUCGAUUGCUGCACUUCUUUCAGGCCUUGAAAAACACUUGCAGAUCCAGAGCUGAUGGCUGCAGCCAUUCUAGCUCCCAAAUUUAGGACCUGCUGGACAAGUGACAAAAAUAUCCUCAAACUUGGCCUUGACUAUAUCAGAAGCCACUUGGACUGUCAGGCCGAGAAUCACACCAGUGAGGGCUCCCAAUCAUCUGAGGAAGAGGACUUUUUUUUUCCUUCUUGAAGAAGACCGGCCCUCUUGAAACGGC